GAUGAACGCUGGCGGCGUGCCUAAUACAUGCAAGUCGAGCGAACGGACGAGAAGCUUGCUUCUCUGAUGUUAGCGGCGGACGGGUGAGUAACACGUGGAUAACCUACCUAUAAGACUGGGAUAACUUCGGGAAACCGGAGCUAAUACCGGAUAAUAUUUUGAACCGCAUGGUUCAAAAGUGAAAGACGGUCUUGCUGUCACUUAUAGAUGGAUCCGCGCUGCAUUAGCUAGUUGGUAAGGUAACGGCUUACCAAGGCAACGAUGCAUAGCCGACCUGAGAGGGUGAUCGGCCACACUGGAACUGAGACACGGUCCAGACUCCUACGGGAGGCAGCAGUAGGGAAUCUUCCGCAAUGGGCGAAAGCCUGACGGAGCAACGCCGCGUGAGUGAUGAAGGUCUUCGGAUCGUAAAACUCUGUUAUUAGGGAAGAACAUAUGUGUAAGUAACUGUGCACAUCUUGACGGUACCUAAUCAGAAAGCCACGGCUAACUACGUGCCAGCAGCCGCGGUAAUACGUAGGUGGCAAGCGUUAUCCGGAAUUAUUGGGCGUAAAGCGCGCGUAGGCGGUUUUUUAAGUCUGAUGUGAAAGCCCACGGCUCAACCGUGGAGGGUCAUUGGAAACUGGAAAACUUGAGUGCAGAAGAGGAAAGUGGAAUUCCAUGUGUAGCGGUGAAAUGCGCAGAGAUAUUGAGGAACACCAGUGGCGAAGGCGACUUUCUGGUCUGUAACUGACGCUGAUGUGCGAAAGCGUGGGGAUCAAACAGGAUUAGAUACCCUGGUAGUCCACGCCGUAAACGAUGAGUGCUAAGUGUUAGGGGGUUUCCGCCCCUUAGUGCUGCAGCUAACGCAUUAAGCACUCCGCCUGGGGAGUACGACCGCAAGGUUGAAACUCAAAGGAAUUGACGGGGACCCGCACAAGCGGUGGAGCAUGUGGUUUAAUUCGAAGCAACGCGAAGAACCUUACCAAAUCUUGACAUCCUUUGACAACUCUAGAGAUAGAGCCUUCCCCUUCGGGGGACAAAGUGACAGGUGGUGCAUGGUUGUCGUCAGCUCGUGUCGUGAGAUGUUGGGUUAAGUCCCGCAACGAGCGCAACCCUUAAGCUUAGUUGCCAUCAUUAAGUUGGGCACUCUAAGUUGACUGCCGGUGACAAACCGGAGGAAGGUGGGGAUGACGUCAAAUCAUCAUGCCCCUUAUGAUUUGGGCUACACACGUGCUACAAUGGACAAUACAAAGGGCAGCGAAACCGCGAGGUCAAGCAAAUCCCAUAAAGUUGUUCUCAGUUCGGAUUGUAGUCUGCAACUCGACUACAUGAAGCUGGAAUCGCUAGUAAUCGUAGAUCAGCAUGCUACGGUGAAUACGUUCCCGGGUCU
Molecule: ribosomal RNA, 1372 nt
Filed under: uncultured bacterium
Lineage: Bacteria
Description: bacterial SSU rRNA
Rfam family: Bacterial small subunit ribosomal RNA
Source: RNAcentral